CAAUGGAAUGAGACUGAAUCUUAGCUCCCGCUGCAGCUCAAUCUACUGCUGCCAGUAUUUCUGCCUCAGAUUUACUACCAUAUCGCAGAGCACCUAAGUGCAACCACGGAAGAUAGAGCUGUAGGAUGGAAGUUCAAGGUCCCAUCCCCACCCACUGAAGUCACUGCAUUCUGCACAGAACCAAAGCAGUACCCUUCUCCUCGUGACGUUUGGACAUUCUGCGGAGAUCAUGGUCUGCGCUGCUCUGCUGCUUCUCAUGGAAGGGAACUCCCUGUGUGCCAGCUACAAUGAUAUCCAAGCUGUAACACUUCUCCUUGUGUGGGUUUCCUAUCAAAAGCCAGCAGCUGCCCACUGGCCUCAGAACACACAUCGCUGGCAGUCAGUCACAUAGCUCCAUGUGAAUGCUGCUGCUUAUCUCAACUGGCUGCAACGGCAGCAGGUUUCCCAGUAAAGCUGCAAGCAAAUGGUCCGUUGUGCAGAUUCAGAUACGAAGAGCCAUGCAGCCAGGUGACAGCACACAUUGGCAGCCCAAAACAGAAAGGGAGUCCUCAUGGGAAUAGCUCCCUAGGUGUAAAACCAAGAGUUACGCCCUUGGCCACAUCCUCUGAAGUAGCUGCUGAAAUAAAUCAGAUGGCUGACAAUAUUGACGUGUGGCCUGCUAGAUUCCUGCUGCAGGGAAUACUGGGACAAAACUAAUAAUGCUGGCAUUGGUGGAAUAGCGAGCAGCUUUCAAGACCCAGGUAAACUGAUUAUGUUAGAUGGAUAACUAACCUCUCUGCAGCAUAGCAGAUCUCUUAAAUAAUUAUGUGAUUGGCCCUUUCUCCUGCUCCACUGGAAACACAAGGUGAGCCAACCUUGGUAAGAGCAGUAGGCAUCCCACUUCUAACUCCAGCAGAGAACUCCAUUUCAGCAGCAGCAGGUGGAAAUCAGGAGCUCAUGGAUUUGGGUUUAGUGCUCAGCACAAAUCUAAUUCUGAAUCCACUGAAGUGAAUGCAAGUUUUGUCAUCCAGCAGAAAUAGCAUUAAGUCGAGGUAUGAUGUCACUGGGCGAGUGCAAGUGGCAUAGUGGGUAACAGGGUUGUGAGACUGGUGGCUGCUAUAGCAUGGCAACACUCUCAUGGAAUUUCACACAGUUUGAUGUCAUUUCUAGUGUACUUCUAGAGUACUGUAUUGCUGCAUGCAGGGGACACACCAAUCUUCACUAAAAUAUGUGCACUUGCCAGCAGUUACUACAUCAGAUGUUUGAGACAUAUCUACCCAGUGGAAACUGUGUAAGCAACAGCACCAUGAAGCCCAGCUGAGCUGCUACAGAGACAUGGCAGUUCAGUGCCAAGAAAGAUACCAGUUAGGGUUCUGAAAGCAGUGCUGGAAACAGGUGCCUUCUUUGUGGUUGGACUAACGUGCUAAGGUGAUUGUGCUGCUCUCCCUUUAACAUUUGAGAAUUUUCGCACUGUGUUGCACUGUGCAAUGUAGAUAAGACUUGAGGUAUUGAUGUCCCCUUGACUCAAAUACAGACAAAAAUUAUGACACUUUCAUGGCACUAGUAUGUUUGCAUGUAGCUAAAUCUUGAGCUACUACUAUAUAUUCCUUCUUUACUACUGGUGAUCUAUCAUGAGCUCUCUGGAAGUCUUAUUUUGCUGUUUGAUAAAUACUGGAAGUAGAGAGGUAUUAUGGUAAAGUCAUCUUUUGCAAAACCU
Molecule: long non-coding RNA, 1696 nt
Organism: Numida meleagris (helmeted guineafowl)
Lineage: Eukaryota; Metazoa; Chordata; Aves; Galliformes; Numididae
Source: Ensembl